AGCAGUUCGCUGCCUUAAAAGGCAGCAAGCUGCUGCCUUAUAUUAAGGCAGCAAAUCGCUGCCUUUUAAGGCAGCCAGCUGCUGCCUUAUAUUAAGGCAGCAGCUUGCUGCCUUUUAAGGCAGUGAACUGCU
This 132-nucleotide microRNA precursor is filed under the name Olea europaea subsp. europaea. The record is from RNAcentral. Lineage: Eukaryota; Viridiplantae; Streptophyta; Magnoliopsida; Lamiales; Oleaceae.